RNAcentral lists this ribosomal RNA (256 nucleotides) under uncultured Lysobacteraceae bacterium. RNAcentral's name for it is "uncultured Xanthomonadaceae bacterium partial 16S ribosomal RNA". It matches the Rfam family "Bacterial small subunit ribosomal RNA", at positions 97 to 355 of the family's 1533-position model. The record is from RNAcentral. Lineage: Bacteria; Pseudomonadati; Pseudomonadota; Gammaproteobacteria; Lysobacterales; Lysobacteraceae.
GGCGGACGGGUGAGGAAUACAUCGGAAUCUACUCUGUCGUGGGGGAGUAACGUAGGGAAACUUACGCUAAUACCGCAUACGACCUACGGGUGAAAGCAGGGACCUUCGGGCCUUGCGCGAUUGAAUGAGCCGAUGUCGGAUUAGCUAGUUGGCGGGGUAAAGGCCCACCAAGGCGACGAUCCGUAGCUGGUCUGAGAGGAUGAUCAGCCACACUGGAACUGAGACACGGUCCAGACUCCUACGGGAGGCAGCAGCC